This 264-nucleotide ribosomal RNA is filed under the name uncultured archaeon. RNAcentral describes it as "partial 16S ribosomal RNA". It matches the Rfam family "Archaeal small subunit ribosomal RNA", at positions 717 to 982 of the family's 1478-position model. The record is from RNAcentral.
ACACGACUACAUUAGACUACCCCCGUAGUCCUAGGCGUAAAUGAUGCGAGUUAAGUGUGGGGGCAUCUACGAGAUGGCCCUGUGCUGUAGGGUAGCCGUUAAACUCGCUGCCUGGGAGUACGGUCGCAAGGCUGAAACUUAAAGGAAUUGGCGGGGAGCACCACAACGGGUGGAGCUUGCGGUUUAAUUGGAUUCAACGCCGGAAAUCUUACCGGGACCGACAGCAACAUGAAGGCCAGGCUGAAGACUUUGCCGGAUUAGCUG